Molecule: transfer RNA, 72 nt
Organism: Camelus ferus (Wild Bactrian camel)
Lineage: Eukaryota; Metazoa; Chordata; Mammalia; Artiodactyla; Camelidae
Rfam family: tRNA
About the family: Transfer RNA (tRNA) molecules are approximately 80 nucleotides in length. Their secondary structure includes four short double-helical elements and three loops (D, anti-codon, and T loops). Further hydrogen bonds mediate the characteristic L-shaped molecular structure. tRNAs have two regions of fundamental functional importance: the anti-codon, which is responsible for specific mRNA codon recognition, and the 3' end, to which the tRNAs corresponding amino acid is attached (by aminoacyl-tRNA synthetases). tRNAs cope with the degeneracy of the genetic code in two manners: having more than one tRNA (with a specific anti-codon) for a particular amino acid; and 'wobble' base-pairing, i.e. permitting non-standard base-pairing at the 3rd anti-codon position.
Source: Rfam
GUGGGUACAGCUCAGUGGUAGAGCACAUGUUUAGCAUCCACAAGGUCCUGGGUUCAACCCCCUGUACCUCCA